Molecule: ribosomal RNA, 532 nt
Filed under: uncultured bacterium
Lineage: Bacteria
Description: bacterial SSU rRNA
Rfam family: Bacterial small subunit ribosomal RNA
Source: RNAcentral
UCGGCAAUGGACGAAAGUCUGACCGAGCAACGCCGCGUGUGCGAUGAAGGCCUUCGGGUUGUAAAGCACUGUCGAGGGGAAACAAGCCGUAAGGUUGAGUGACCCCUGGAGGAAGCACGGGCUAAGUUCGUGCCAGCAGCCGCGGUAAGACGAACCGUGCAAACGUUAUUCGGAAUCACUGGGCUUAAAGGGUGCGUAGGCGGGUGGACAAGUCGAGGGUGAAAGCCUCUAGCUUAACUAGAGAAGUGCCCUCGAUACUGUUUGUCUUGAGAGAGAUAGGGGCACACGGAACUUCCGGUGGAGCGGUGAAAUGCGUAGAUAUCGGAAGGAACGCCGGUGGCGAAAGCGGUGUGCUGGAUCUUUUCUGACGCUGAGGCACGAAAGCUAGGGUAGCGAACGGGAUUAGAUACCCCGGUAGUCCUAGCCCUAAACGAUGAGUACUAGAUUGUGGACUGACAUGGGUUCACAGUCGAAGCAAAAGUAUUAAGUACUCCGCCUGGGGAGUAUGGUCGCAAGGCUGAAACUCAAAGGA